Molecule: long non-coding RNA, 606 nt
Filed under: Marmota monax (woodchuck)
Lineage: Eukaryota; Metazoa; Chordata; Mammalia; Rodentia; Sciuridae
Source: RNAcentral
AGAAGAGAGAUCAGUAGAGUAGAGCAAGUAGAUCAGGAGAAAGGAGGUGGGAAGGGUAAGGGAAGUUACCAGGGAAUGAAAUUAAUUAAAUUAUGUGCAUGUAUGAAUAUUGCAGAAUGAAUCCCACUAUUAUGUAUAUUUGUAAUGCACUAAUAAAAAUAAAUAAUGAAAUAAAAGUAGGAAUCCAUGAGUUCAUGUAGAUACAAAAAAUAAAUAAAUGUGAUAAGAAAAAGUUCCUUCUUAUAGAAGAAUGAUUACUAAUGACUGUACAAACAAUGAUGGAGUUAGAAAAACUACUUUUUGAUAAUCAUAGUAAUUGCUUCAGGAAAAUAUUAUCAAAGGAUACUAUAGAGGAUUGAUUGGUAGCUCCAAAAAAUUGUAUCCAUGUUCUUGUCCUCAGGAUGUCGGAAUGUUAUCUUGUUUGGAAAAGGCUUUUUGCUUAGGGCCUCGCUAAGUUGCUGAACCUGGCUUUGAAAUUGUGAUCCUCCUGCCUCAGCCUCCUGAGCUGCUGGGAUUCCAUGCCCAGCAGGAAUUUACAGUCCUAAAGGACCUACAAAAUACAUACUAAUUAUGAAAGAAAAUAUAGUAACAUUGGCCCAAACUGGC